Molecule: long non-coding RNA, 1453 nt
Organism: Pygocentrus nattereri (red-bellied piranha)
Lineage: Eukaryota; Metazoa; Chordata; Actinopteri; Characiformes; Serrasalmidae
Exons: 5
Source: RefSeq, a predicted model, not a curated record
UAUUGUGUGUGUGUGUGUGUAUAUUGUGUGUGUGUGUGUGUAUGUAUAUUGUGUGUGUAUGUAUAUUGUGUGUGUGUGUGUGUGUGUGACAGCAGUCCACUGCCUCCGUGGGAAUGGUGUGAGAAAAACCGAACACUGACCUCUGAACAGAUGACAGCAAAGAGAGCGUAUGUCUGGUCUAAGGGCGUAGGGUUUGGUCUCAUUCUCUUAUGCUCUGCUAUAAUACUGCUUCGUGAAUACAUCUCGAAUCAAUGCUGUGUAGCACCCAAUCCACAGAGAGAUGACAGAAAUGCUGGGGCACAGACGAGGGAUGGGCUUGAAACGAUUCCGAUGUAAGGUGCUGCUCGGACGGAGCAAAACCCUGGACAGUAGACACCUGCACAUACAAGCGAACCAUCUGAAACAACUCCACUGCAGGACCCUGCCGGGACUCAGGAAAGCAGAACACAGCAGACACAGCACGUAUAAAUUCUGCACAGCUUUUUAGAACUAAGAGCUAAGAAAGCAUCAGCUCAUCACUGUAACAUUUCAUCCUCUCUGAAACCUUUUCACGCUUUUUAUGAGUAGACCUUUCUUGCAUCGCGUAUAUCUUCUUUUAUGUCAUUUACUGGAGGAAAGGUGGUUGACUUAUUUUCAAACUUAAACUUCUACUCUGUUAUAACAGUUCAUUUUUUCUGCAAGUUGUGUUUAAUGGAUUUUCCUGAAGUUUCUUUAUUUCACUGGAUGUUGAUUUGAUUUAUUUUAUUUUCUUCCUGGUAUAUGGGCUGACCGUGCCGCCGGAACCACGGUGGUGAGUGGGCACUUGACCCACCACUGAGUUCAGAACGCGAACAUAAAAACCUCUUUCCCUGAACUGCAUUAUGUGCUGACCAGCACAAACAGGCAGAGUAAAACAUCAGAAUCUCCAUUUCAGCUGGGAGGUGCUGUUGGAGCUGCCUUGGUUGAUGGAGACUUGUUGAACUUUCCUUUAGUUUUGUUUCGAUAUGCAACUCCACCUGAAUUCAGGCAACUGAACUACGCUAAUUCACAAGGUACUUCAACAUUACAGUGCAUUUUUUAUCCUGUGAUCAUUUUUUUGUACUGUCUGCACAAUAUGCUGCGUCCUGGUGGCACAGCGGUAACGUCACGGACUGUAGGGUUUUUCCACGAGCUUGUCUUCCAACACCAGAGAGAUGCUACAUGCCAGGCUUCUGUAAAUUAGAAAGACUUUGGCAUGGAUGUUAAUUCAGGGAUGAUUUGAUUUUUUUUUUAGUACAUCAAAUAACUCAUUUUGUGUUACUAUUUACUGGGUGCAUCAUAUUAACCCAAUCUAACAGAGCACAUUUCAUAUCAUAAACACGUAUUUUAGAUUUAUUGCCUUUUUUCACUUUUAUUUUGUCUAUGAGCUUUCAUCGUAUACUUUGGAAAAUCGGUUUUGUUGAGAGUUUAAAUAAAAAACUCAAUUAAACAUCAA